Long non-coding RNA from Oncorhynchus keta (chum salmon), 246 nucleotides. RefSeq lists it as uncharacterized. NCBI's taxonomy places the organism in Eukaryota, Metazoa, Chordata, Actinopteri, Salmoniformes, Salmonidae. The transcript has 3 exons. The record is from RefSeq and is a predicted model, not a curated record.
GUUGUAUUCAGGAGAGGUCUCAGUGGGUUGGUUGUAUUCAGGAGAGGUCUCAGUGGGUUGGUUGUAUUCAGGAAAGGUCCAGAGGUCUCAGUGGGUUGGUUGUAUUCAGGAGAGGUCUCAGUGAGUUGGUUGUAUUCAGGAGAGGUCUCAGUGGGGUUGGUUGUAUUCAGGAGAGGUCUCAGUGAGUUGGUUGUAUUCAGGAGAGGUCUCAGUGAGUUGGUUGUAUUCAGGAGAGGUCUCAGUGGG